CAAUAUAAGUGAUGGCGACCGGCGCACGGGUGAGUAACACGUAUCCAACCUGCCGAUAACUCGGGGAUAGCCUUUCGAAAGAAAGAUUAAUACCCGAUGGUAUAAUAAAACCGCAUGGUUUAAUUAUUAAAGAAUUUCGGUUAUCGAUGGGGAUGCGUUCCAUUAGGCAGUUGGUGAGGUAACGGCUCACCAAACCUUCGAUGGAUAGGGGUUCUGAGAGGAAGGUCCCCCACAUUGGAACUGAGACACGGCCCAA
RNAcentral lists this ribosomal RNA (256 nucleotides) under uncultured bacterium. RNAcentral's name for it is "partial 16S ribosomal RNA". It matches the Rfam family "Bacterial small subunit ribosomal RNA", at positions 74 to 334 of the family's 1533-position model. The record is from RNAcentral.